Molecule: transfer RNA, 90 nt
Filed under: Armatimonadota bacterium
Lineage: Bacteria; Bacillati; Armatimonadota
Description: Armatimonadetes bacterium (sediment metagenome) tRNA-Ser
Rfam family: tRNA
About the family: Transfer RNA (tRNA) molecules are approximately 80 nucleotides in length. Their secondary structure includes four short double-helical elements and three loops (D, anti-codon, and T loops). Further hydrogen bonds mediate the characteristic L-shaped molecular structure. tRNAs have two regions of fundamental functional importance: the anti-codon, which is responsible for specific mRNA codon recognition, and the 3' end, to which the tRNAs corresponding amino acid is attached (by aminoacyl-tRNA synthetases). tRNAs cope with the degeneracy of the genetic code in two manners: having more than one tRNA (with a specific anti-codon) for a particular amino acid; and 'wobble' base-pairing, i.e. permitting non-standard base-pairing at the 3rd anti-codon position.
Source: RNAcentral
GGAGCGAUGUCCGAGUGGUCGAAGGAGCGCGCCUGGAGAGCGCGUAGGGGCCCACAAGGUCCCUCCUGGGUUCGAAUCCCAGUCGCUCCG